This 340-nucleotide long non-coding RNA is filed under the name Zonotrichia albicollis (white-throated sparrow). Its description in RNAcentral is "lncRNA (ENSZALG00000013928.1)". The record is from RNAcentral. Lineage: Eukaryota; Metazoa; Chordata; Aves; Passeriformes; Passerellidae.
AACAUGAAGCCUGGCUCUGCUGUCCCACACAAUAUCCCAAAUUUCACCAGCCAGUAUUUUUAAUUUACUUCUGAGAAUUUUUGGAAAAAGACCACUCUGCUGUCAUCCUCCUGGGAUAAGCAAAAAGGAAAUGAAACUUUAAAAGACCUGAAAGGCUGUUUGGUGUUUCUUCCAUAGACUUUCACUAGAAGGUAGGCACAGAGAUAAUAUUCUUCAAGGUUAUUUUGACUAAAAUAUUAAAGGUCUUUUUCGUUUGUAUUAUUAAUAUGCUAAUAAUUGUAUUAUACAAGUGCUAAUGUUCACUGGGGGGUUUUAUGUAUUGCUUCUAUUUUCUUUAUAU